This 375-nucleotide ribosomal RNA is filed under the name Triticum aestivum (bread wheat). Its description in RNAcentral is "partial small subunit ribosomal RNA". Lineage: Eukaryota; Viridiplantae; Streptophyta; Magnoliopsida; Poales; Poaceae. The record is from RNAcentral.
AUGCUCUCCCGACCACAAGGCGAGAUUCCAUUUCCCACCAACCCCUCUAUAUAUCCCUUUUCUCUUCCCCUCCACGCCCAUUUCCCCUCGCCUUUCCCCACCUUCCGUCCUCCCCCCGUCGUCGCGGCUCCAGCUAGGGUUUCUCGCCCCCGCCCUCCCGCCCCACCGCCGGCCCCGUCCGCCAUGUCGAAGCAAGGAGGAAAGGCCAAGCCGCUCAAGCAGGCCAAGGUCGCCGAGAAGGACUACGACGAGAAUGACCUGGCAUACCUCCAGAAGAAGAAGGAUGAGCAAAAGGCCCUGAAGGAGCUGAAGGCCAAGGCAGGCCAGAAGGGUGCGCUGGGAGGAUCUGGUCUCAAGAAGAGUGGGAAGAAAUGA